AAUAUGGCCUGUACAACUGAAG
RNAcentral lists this microRNA (22 nucleotides) under Callithrix jacchus (white-tufted-ear marmoset). RNAcentral's name for it is "cja-miR-9921". The record is from miRBase by way of RNAcentral. Lineage: Eukaryota; Metazoa; Chordata; Mammalia; Primates; Cebidae.